Molecule: ribosomal RNA, 490 nt
Filed under: uncultured bacterium
Lineage: Bacteria
Description: partial 16S ribosomal RNA
Rfam family: Bacterial small subunit ribosomal RNA
Source: RNAcentral
AUUGAACGCUGGCGGCAUGCCUUACACAUGCAAGUCGAACGGCAGCAUGAUCUAGCUUGCUAGAUUGAUGGCGAGUGGCGAACGGGUGAGUAAUACAUCGGAACGUGCCCUGUAGUGGGGGAUAACUAGUCGAAAGAUUAGCUAAUACCGCAUACGACCUGAGGGUGAAAGUGGGGGACCGCAAGGCCUCAUGCUAUAGGAGCGGCCGAUGUCUGAUUAGCUAGUUGGUGAGGUAAAGGCUCACCAAGGCGACGAUCAGUAGCUGGUCUGAGAGGACGAUCAGACACACUAGGACUGAGACACGGCCCAGACUCCUACGGGAGGCAGCAGUGGGGAAUUUUGGACAAUGGGCGAAAGACUGAUCCAGCAAUGCCGCGUGUGUGAAGAAGGCCUUCGGGUUGUAAAGCACUUUUGUCCGGAAAGAAAUGGCUCUGGUUAAUACCUGGGGUCGAUGACGGUACCGGAAGAAUAAGGACCGGCUAACUACGUG